Molecule: ribosomal RNA, 208 nt
Filed under: uncultured bacterium
Lineage: Bacteria
Description: partial 16S ribosomal RNA
Rfam family: Bacterial small subunit ribosomal RNA
Source: RNAcentral
CACGUAGGCGGAUCAGAAAGUUGGGGGUGAAAUCCCAGGGCUCAACCCUGGAACGGCCUCCAAAACUCCUGGUCUUGAGUUCGACGAGAGGUGAGUGGAAUUCCGAGUGUAGAGGUGAAAUUCGUAGAUAUUCGGAGGAACACCAGUGGCGAAGGCGGCUCACUGGCUCGAUACUGACGCUGAGGUGCGAAAGUGUGGGGAGCAAACA